Molecule: long non-coding RNA, 1223 nt
Filed under: Linum usitatissimum (flax)
Lineage: Eukaryota; Viridiplantae; Streptophyta; Magnoliopsida; Malpighiales; Linaceae
Description: long non-coding RNA (LUSI_LNC007391)
Source: RNAcentral
AAAAUUAACGAUAGUUCCGCAUAAACACAAUCGAAAUAAUGCUGAAUUAACACAUAAUCAAGGUUUCAUCAAAUCUGAGCAGAGCAGGAGCUUAGAUACACAUAAUAAUCAUCUUAACAACACAUAAAUGGAGAUAAUACAUGAACCUGGAGCUCCAAGAUUCAAGAACUCUCCACCGUCGUAAAAUUCAGCAAUGCCAGCGAUGUCGAAUGGAAGUUCCGGAAUGGAUUUCUUCACCUCCGGGGCUCCGAAUUGUGUGCGGUUUGAAGUCGCACGUUUCUGGGUUGAAGGAGAACGUCUUGGGACAGAGUAACUAGGGUUAGAGGUCUGAUAUGGUGUGUGUGUGUGUGUAUGGUGCAUUUUAAAAGUGGAGAUGAGUUGCCCUUAUAUAGGCUAGAAAAUAGCGUAUUAAAGCCUCCGGCAUGGGCUUCAUCAGCUGUAUGCAAGGUGUAGCUGUCUAUGGAGUGAUGAUGGACAGAUCUACAUGUGAUGGACGUCCCUUUAUAUCGUUGGAUUCGUAAUUCAUCCCUUUAUAAUUGACACCUACUUCGAAUUCUGAUUUAGCUCCGGUUUGUAUCGUUGGAUUCAUAAUUCAUCCCUUUAUAAUUGUGUGACCUGAAAUGUCAUUAAAGACACUAGAAACAACAUAAUAUUGACCAUGAAGAUCCAAGGGUUGAAUUUAUGGAAUUAAGCAUAAUAGAACCAAUUUUCGUCGAAAUUUCCAGUUGCAAUUCAUAUUAUGGCAUUAAGAUUAGCAAAUUAAGUGUCAAUUAUGAUAUAGUUAUUAAGGGUCACUUAAAUGCAAAGAUUUGAGCCUUUUACGGGGCCAUGGUGCAUGGGCAUGCUCCCCUCCACGUAUCAUGCUAAGAAAAAUAACUAGGGGUAAGUCAGAUCUGGUUCAUUGAUGAUGGAGACAAGGAAUCGUCUAGGCAUGUCGUAUGUAGAAUGUGCAGCAACCUGUAGUAUGAACCAAAUAACAUGUCGAAUGAUCGAUGGGACAAAUAAAAAAGGUAUCAAAAUGACAAGCAAAUCCAAGAAAAAAUUAUGGUUAUCGUACCUAGUCCAACCACUAACGUAAGCGAGAGAGAAAUCCUAAGUGUCUUAUCAAAUGAAAGCUACGAAGAAAGGAUGAAGGCCUGACCUUGAUAAAUCCGGAUUCCUCUAGCCCCGCAAAGAUGUUUUAAGAACGAGGCGGAAACACACAACCAAUUAAGCCGAAAUAC